AGUAAAGAUUAAAUGUGCUUCUCAAAGGCAGCCACUUCAUGCUGCUAUGUCGAAAGGGCCAUUAUUAUUAUUAUAUUUUAAUAGUAAAAGAGAAAAGGAGAGAGGUUGAGCGAGCGAGAGAGAAGCUAGGUGUGAUGAUGACAGACUAGCUUUUCUGAGAGGAAAAGGAAAAGGGAAGGGAGAGAAAAAGGAGAGCCUCUGAGCUCAACGGAGGAUUGUGCCUGAGAAGAACCCACAGAGGAAAGCCCCACUUCCAGUCUGAUGAGGAAAGCGACAAUCUAUCAGGUACAGAACCAGGGGCUGUCUGCGAAGAUGGAGGGGAAUUAUGCUUCGGAUUCCUCUGAAAUAUUGGCCAAAGGCUUCAAAGAAUCCGCAGCGGGAGGUGCGGGGGGAAUGUCUCUCCCCAGCCCGCACCCAGCCCUUCCCACUUCGUGUCUACCAAAUGACAGCCUGGUGCUCGCUCUUGGUGAUUUGGCCUUGACUUCAGCCAAGCAGCUGAUGCAGACGAAGCCUCCGUUUGCAGGACUGGCAAAGUGCACGCUGAAGAAAGAAGGAAGAAAUUUUUCAAAAAGCAGCUCUGGGGAGGUUUCAU
Molecule: long non-coding RNA, 592 nt
Filed under: Pan troglodytes (chimpanzee)
Lineage: Eukaryota; Metazoa; Chordata; Mammalia; Primates; Hominidae
Description: lincRNA
Source: RNAcentral